CAGCAGCGGUAAUACGGAGGGUGCAAGCGUUAUCCGGAUUUAUUGGGUUUAAAGGGUCCGUAGGCGGAUCUGUAAGUCAGUGGUGAAAUCUCACAGCUUAACUGUGAAACUGCCAUUGAUACUGCAGGUCUUGAGUAAAUUUGAAGUGGCUGGAAUAAGUAGUGUAGCGGUGAAAUGCAUAGAUAUUACUUAGAACACCAAUUGCGAAGGCAGGUCACUAAGAUUUAACUGACGCUGAUGGACGAAAGCGUGGGGAGCGAACAGGAUUAGAUACCCCCGUAGUCCCUGUCUCUUAUACACA
RNAcentral lists this ribosomal RNA (301 nucleotides) under uncultured bacterium. RNAcentral's name for it is "partial 16S ribosomal RNA". It matches the Rfam family "Bacterial small subunit ribosomal RNA", at positions 512 to 810 of the family's 1533-position model. The record is from RNAcentral.